UAAUACGGAGGAUUCGAGCGUUAUCCGGAUUUAUUGGGUUUAAAGGGUGCGUAGGCGGGUUUGUAAGUCAGUGGUGAAAGUUUCCGGCUUAACCGGGAGAAUGCCGUUGAGACUGCAAAUCUUGAGUGCAAGCGAGGUAAGUGGAAUGUGUUGUGUAGCGGUGAAAUGCAUAGAUAUAACACAGAACACCGAUUGCGAAGGCAGCUUACUAGUAUGUAACUGACGCUGAGGCACGAAAGCGUGGGGAGCAAACAGG
This 256-nucleotide ribosomal RNA is filed under the name uncultured bacterium. Its description in RNAcentral is "partial 16S ribosomal RNA". It matches the Rfam family "Bacterial small subunit ribosomal RNA", at positions 521 to 776 of the family's 1533-position model. The record is from RNAcentral.